GAUGGACGCUGGCGGCGUGCCUAAUACAUGCAAGUCGAGCGAACAGAUAAGGAGCUUGCUCCUUUGACGUUAGCGGCGGACGGGUGAGUAACACGUGGGUAACCUACCUAUAAGACUGGGAUAACUUCGGGAAACCGGAGCUAAUACCGGAUAACAUUUGGAACCGCAUGGUUCUAAAGUGAAAGAUGGUUUUGCUAUCACUUAUAGAUGGACCCGCGCCGUAUUAGCUAGUUGGUAAGGUAACGGCUUACCAGGGCAACGAUACGUAGCCGACCUGAGAGGGUGAUCGGCCACACUGGAACUGAGACACGGUCCAGACUCCUACGGGAGGCAGCAGUAGGGAAUCUUCCGCAAUGGGCGAAAGCCUGACGGAGCAACGCCGCGUGAGUGAUGAAGGGUUUCGGCUCGUAAAACUCUGUUAUUAGGGAAGAACAAAUGUGUAAGUAACUGUGCACGUCUUGACGGUACCUAAUCAGAAAGCCACGGCUAACUACGUG
This 497-nucleotide ribosomal RNA is filed under the name uncultured bacterium. RNAcentral describes it as "partial 16S ribosomal RNA". It matches the Rfam family "Bacterial small subunit ribosomal RNA", at positions 28 to 507 of the family's 1533-position model. The record is from RNAcentral.